CGUUGUCGUAGGGCAACGCACAAUGACUUUACAAAUCCCACAAAUUUUGCAUCACCGCUUCCAUUCCACCUUCCACCAUGGUUUAUUCAUAUUUAUAAACAAUACGUAGAGCUCUGUAGGGUUGGAUUCUUUAUAUGUGCGUUUGGUGCGUCAAAGAAAAGAAUUUGAGAAUCUCUCCAUUGAAC
Long non-coding RNA from Trachymyrmex cornetzi, 185 nucleotides. RefSeq lists it as uncharacterized. Lineage: Eukaryota; Metazoa; Arthropoda; Insecta; Hymenoptera; Formicidae. The record is from RefSeq and is a predicted model, not a curated record. The transcript is spliced from 3 exons.